Non-coding RNA from Petromyzon marinus (sea lamprey), 231 nucleotides. The record is from RefSeq and is a predicted model, not a curated record. NCBI's taxonomy places the organism in Eukaryota, Metazoa, Chordata, Hyperoartia, Petromyzontiformes, Petromyzontidae.
CCAGAUCACGCAGCUGAAGAUUGCCAGUAAUCCCUUCGCUAAAGGAUUCAGAGACUGUGACCCAGAGGAAUGGCCGCGCGGUCACGUGAUCCGGGCCCCGUUCAGCCCCGCCCUCUCGAGGCCACGCCUCCUCAACGGGGAGGGAGAAGACGUCACCACCGCCACCCACGACUGCCGCCACUCGCUCCUCUCACCCCCCGCCCAGCGCUUCGCCCCGCCCCUCCACCCCGC